CAAACAAAACAAAGAAAGGAAAAAAACCCUAAACUCAAAAACACAUUACGCAGCUCUCAUCUCACACUCUCUCUCGUUUUUCAGUCUCUCACUCUCAUCUGAUCAGUCUCUCAUACUCACUCUCUCACUCUCAUCUCAUCACUCAUCUCGGCCGAUCAACCUCGCAAGAGAUCGACUCUCACUCAUCCCAAGAUUGACCGAUCGACCUCAUACUCUCAUCGCACCGAUCGACCUCCCAGGUUUUGGUGGUUAGACAAGACCUGAAGAUGGGAGUAUGAAAGAUUGCGUCCCAAUGUGCUCAUGCUGCUACUGGGAUGUAUUCAGAACUGAUGCAAAGUUAUGACAAUGCUAAACACAGGAUUACUUCAUUUAUUCAAGCCCUGAAAUUUACUUUGAUUCUAAUAGUUUGUUUCCCCUCUCAUUCUCUUUAAUAAUUAACAUCCUUAAUGGCAAAAACAAUCUUUUGAGGAGGAACCAAACUUUGUUGCUUGCUGUAGCUGUUCAAAAUAAAGAUUGACAAAAUGGGAAAGAAAAAAAAAAGGUUCAAAAAUCUAAGUGGCAUAAUGAAAUGGCAUAAUGAAAUAAUCUAAGUGGCACUGCACUGCACGAAACAAUCUAAGUGGCAUAAUGAAAUAUGUUUCCUUUCAUAAUAUCUCUAACUAAUCAAGUUUGUUCAACACUUUGUUGCUGAAUUUGUGAGUAUUAUUUAUUUUUAUUCACAGUUAAAUGUUCAAGGAAUUCAAGUGACUGAAUAAUUUCUUGGAAUUAUCUGCUUUUGGGAGAUAAUUAAGAGUAACUUUAACUUUAGUACGUUGGCUUAAAAAGACUCGAGAAUUGAUAAGAGUUACAGUGAUUGUUUAUUUAAUGAGACUGCUUGUUCUGUAGAUUGUCAUUUCUAAUCUGUCAGAACUAUAGGUUGAGUUUUGUGGGAUCUUAGGAAGGCAGGAGUGCCUUUGGCUUACCUAAUGGACCACAUUUAGGUAUGGGUUCAAGGGAAAUACACGAAAUAAGGGUUAUGUUUUUACCAUUUAGUUGAUUGUUAUACUAUGAGCUAAGAUCUUCACUGUGUUCCUAUCUAUGUCUAGUCUUUUUUCCUCAUUCUCUACGGCUAAUUUCAUAACUAAUGAAACUUAUUUAUAAUUAUAAGGUGCAGUGAAUUUUGAAAAUUUAACUACCAUCAAGCUGUAGUUUGUUUUAUGGUGGGCUGAAUUGUUCUUAUGGUCAGUAGAUGUCGCCAACGAUGAAAUAAUCCUCCCCAUCAAGUAUUAGUUUUGCAUGCCGCAUCACUAUACUUUUCAUAUAAUAGACAUAUUUUUAUAAGUCAAAUAGUGAAAUUAAUAUUACUAACUUCAAAAUUAAAGUUCUAACUUUAAAAAUUGUUAGCUAAAAUAAUGUUGUAAUUAUUAAUGUUUAGGUUAUUCUGGUACAAGCAAUAAAUUAUCUAAGGACAAUAAAAUUUGAUACAGAAUGACUAUUAGAGUAAAGCUUAGUAAUUAUUAGUUUUGUUGAAUGUUGACUAUUUUGCAUUUGGAAUGAUAUGUGGCUUUUAUGGCUUUGAGAAUUCUUCUACAAUUUACCUGUGUUCUUUCAUUUUGCUUUUGUUCAAGUUUGAAUUAUUAGUUUAUCUAUUUCUUACCAAAAAGGUGCGCCUCACCUUGCGCCUACGCCUGAAUCUGGCGCCUUGGUGUGCCUUGAGCAUUUAAAAUCACUGGACAGCCACUAUGGAUAAUGACUGCAUGAAUGUAACUUUUUCUUCUCUAAAAGGUUAACUUAGUUUAAGUCAAAGCAAGACGAUUUCCAAAAAUCAGAUGUUUCUUGGGUUUAUUUCUGUGUGUUGUAUAUUUCAGUACUCCACUCCCUAGUCUAAUUACAUCGUGUGGUUUAAAUCUAUUUUCUAUGAAUUACUUGGUAAUUACGAUGUAUGUUGUUUAUUUUGUGUGGUACAAUUUCAUAUAUUUUUGGAUCUUCAAAAGUAAGAUCUGUAUCUACCACUGAAGUUGCAUUUCCUCAAAAGUGAACUGUUUGUGUUCUCUGUAUUUUCUUUAAUAAUUGAGAGUUGUCUGGUUUUCAACCUGAAAAUUGAUUGGUUCUUUUCAAAAAAUUCAUUAUAUCAUACUAUUUCAUAUGCCUAUCCUGGUUAAUGAAUGGAAAAAAAAGUACUUUUGCAUGUAUUCCUUAGUUUUUGACAAUUCCAUGUGAAAUAAUGAAUACCUGUGCAACUUGACUUCAACAUUUGUAAAUUGAAUAUUAUGUCUGUUGAUUUAGUUAUUUGGCUUCAUUCAUCUACUUGAAAUUUCCCCUGGUUUCUAUGGUCAGGUUGUUGCUAGUUUAUCGAAAAUUUAUCCAAAGGUUAUGGAAGCUCCUGCUGGUGGAGUCGAUGACAUGACUAAGCUAUCAUAUUUGCAUGAGCCUGGAGUUUUGCAGAAUUUGGCACUGAGAUAUCAGACCAAUGAAAUUUAUCUAUGGAUGGCUCAGUCAUAAUAUUCUAUCGUACUCUGAAAUUAUGACAGA
Molecule: non-coding RNA, 2511 nt
Organism: Camellia sinensis
Lineage: Eukaryota; Viridiplantae; Streptophyta; Magnoliopsida; Ericales; Theaceae
Source: RefSeq, a predicted model, not a curated record